This 1115-nucleotide unclassified non-coding RNA is filed under the name Hevea brasiliensis (rubber tree). Lineage: Eukaryota; Viridiplantae; Streptophyta; Magnoliopsida; Malpighiales; Euphorbiaceae. The record is from RNAcentral.
CCAAAAAGAUUUCCUUGCUUAAUUGGUGCACAGUACUAUUAUACUCAGUAAGAUACUGCAUCAACCUGUCCUGAGAAAUCUGAAUAUUUCUCAACCCAAAAAAAGCUGCCUAAACUUACAAGAAAAUACCUACCUACCUACCUACUUACUUUCUCUUUUAACCGAUUUCUUCUUCCUUUGUCAUUUGCAUGAGCUGAUUUAUCAUUCCAAUUUUUGCCGCCAUCAUCAUUAUCAUCACUGUUGACAAUUAUAAUGCCAUCCUCCAUGUCAUCAUCAUCGCCUUCCAUAUUGCCCUCACCAUCCCAAUCUUCAUCAUAACCUUCUUCGUCAUAGGCAUCAUCAUAAUCUAAAUCAUCUUCAUCAUCAUUAUCAUCCAUACCUGCAUGCAACGUGUGGAACUCAGGUGGAGGUGGGCAAUCCUCCAUGAUCGCUUUCUCUCUCUUUAUCACAAGGUGUCGAAUAACUCUCUCGUCUUUGUCUAACAUGCUCUUGAAUUCAUUGAUCCAUUUGGCUUCUAACUCAAAAUUCAUCAAAAUGUAGUGGGCAUUUUUGGCUUUUUGUAUCUUGUACGCUAGCCUUCGCAUCCCCCAAUCAUUCAGUCUCCAUAUCUUGCCUUUCUUCUCCCUUAAAAAACCUUGAACUUUUUCAUUAACACUGCCAACUUCUUCUGCAUGCUUCUCAUGGAUUAGAUAAACCACUUCAUAGUGACGCAUACGCUCAACCUUCAAUUGACUUUCCAGCUCAAGGUUCAGAAAUUCAUAGAGUUUUUGCUCUUCAACAUCAGCGAAUUCAGGGAGAAGUUUACCAUCUUCCUGAACCUUCUUCUCUUUAAGCAGUACAGCCUCGGGGAAGGGCCCAGUGGCCUCAUCUGGUUUAGGCACAAAACUAUGGGUGUCUUCUUUCUUGUUGUUCUUCCUCUUGGCCCCAACAGUAACAUAUCUUCUCAAUCCAAAUGAAAGCUUUCGAGAGGUGAAUAGCUCUGCAGAACAGUACCCAUUUGGAAAAUUGAAGCUUGUGUUUCUGUACCAACUCAAUCCUCUACCAUGAAACUGUUUUGGGUUUGGAUAAGUCGCCGUGGUAUGCAGGAGUGUCUCCAUUGACGAACGAUUUCUUCC